Molecule: long non-coding RNA, 849 nt
Organism: Rhododendron vialii
Lineage: Eukaryota; Viridiplantae; Streptophyta; Magnoliopsida; Ericales; Ericaceae
Exons: 3
Source: RefSeq, a predicted model, not a curated record
UGUGCGCGUAAAAUCUAUUACAAUAAUUUGAAUUUAAUCUCUAUUCUUUAUUGGCAAAUUAAUAACAGUAUGACGUUUGUUCGACUUACUUUGUGAAAUGAAUUUGCAAUGAGAGAUGAGAUGCGUCUGUUUGAAACUCUGCACCAAAAUAAUGUUUUGUUUGCUACAGAGUUGAAGGUUGAUGAUUUUCAUGGUAAUACUUCUCUGAACUCGUGUGAAUUUUUUUUAAUAAUAAUUUAAAAACUUGAUUAAUAAUUUUGAAAUUUUUACUUCUAGGUCCAUACCUUAGUACUUGCAAGAAGAGCAAAUUAUAUGUUAACCACACAAUUUGUACAGACGAGGUUCUUGAAUGGUAAGUUGGAUAUUGAGCGAAUCAAUUUUUUUUAUGUUUUUUAGUCUUUCACUAGAUAGAGAUUAGUAUUUUUUGUUCGAUUAAUUAUUCUAAAAAAAUCGUGCUCAUCUAGGUUUGUAGAAGACGUAAAUGUACAAAAGUCGAUAGCAUGGAACCGCACACAUAUAUGGAUUUUCGCUCCCACAGGCAUAAAUAAUUUCAAAUGCCAGGAGAAUUCGAAUAAACCAAUUUGCGUUUCGGGCCAAUGUAAACUAUUAUCGCUUUAUUGGCCGCAUUGAAAAAAUAAAUGGUGAACACCUAUGGAUUGAUUUAUGCAAUACAUGUUAUAACCAAUAAACCAAUUUGAAGAUCAGUGCAGCUGGUUUAUGUGUAAUCAUUGCGGACAAGAAAAUGUGCAAACUGUAACCAGAUAUAAUGUAAAGAUAGUCGUGAAAGACUUCACUGGCUCAAUGGAACUCUUGGUAAAGGAUACGAAGGCAGAAUUCAUCUUACAAUGU